CCUACGGGGGGCUGCAGUGGGGAAUAUUGGACAAUGGGGGGAACCCUGAUCCAGCCAUGCCGCGUGUGUGAAGAAGGCCCUCGGGUUGUAAAGCACUUUCAGUGAGGAAGAACGCCUGUUGGUUAAUACCCAUCAGGAAAGACAUCACUCACAGAAGAAGCACCGGCUAACUCCGUGCCAGCAGCCGCGGUAAUACGGAGGGUGCGAGCGUUAAUCGGAAUUACUGGGCGUAAAGCGCGCGUAGGUGGCUUGAUAAGCCGGUUGUGAAAGCCCCGGGCUCAACCUGGGAACGGCAUCCGGAACUGUCAAGCUAGAGUGCAGGAGAGGAAGGUAGAAUUCCCGGUGUAGCGGUGAAAUGCGUAGAGAUCGGGAGGAAUACCAGUGGCGAAGGCGGCCUUCUGGACUGACACUGACACUGAGGUGCGAAAGCGUGGGUAGCAAACAGGAUUAGAUACCCGAGUAGUC
RNAcentral lists this ribosomal RNA (465 nucleotides) under Vreelandella stevensii. Its description in RNAcentral is "partial 16S ribosomal RNA". It matches the Rfam family "Bacterial small subunit ribosomal RNA", at positions 338 to 795 of the family's 1533-position model. The record is from RNAcentral. Lineage: Bacteria; Pseudomonadati; Pseudomonadota; Gammaproteobacteria; Oceanospirillales; Halomonadaceae.